Molecule: non-coding RNA, 130 nt
Filed under: Actinacidiphila paucisporea
Lineage: Bacteria; Bacillati; Actinomycetota; Actinomycetes; Kitasatosporales; Streptomycetaceae
Description: Streptomyces paucisporeus TPP sequence
Rfam family: TPP riboswitch aptamer (THI element)
About the family: Vitamin B(1) in its active form thiamin pyrophosphate (TPP) is an essential coenzyme that is synthesised by coupling of pyrimidine and thiazole moieties in bacteria. The previously detected thiamin-regulatory element, thi box was extended, resulting in a new, highly conserved RNA secondary structure, the THI element, which is widely distributed in eubacteria and also occurs in some archaea.
Source: Rfam by way of RNAcentral
ACAUUCCGACAGGGGAGCGCCUGCGACGGCGCUGAGAGUGCGGCGAGGGACCGGAAGUCGAGGUCUCAGGCCGCAGACCCUCCCACCUGAUCCGGGUCAUACCGGCGUAGGGAGUCAUCGCAGAUGAGAA